This is an RNA transcript of Cyprinus carpio (common carp), 1841 nucleotides long. It is a transcript of the gene named cyclin-H-like, with no coding region annotated. The record is from RefSeq and is a predicted model, not a curated record. NCBI's taxonomy places the organism in Eukaryota, Metazoa, Chordata, Actinopteri, Cypriniformes, Cyprinidae.
AUAAGAAGAAGAAAAGGAAGCUCGAUGCAGUGCAGCUUCGAUUCAAUGCGUCUUUCUGGCUGUAAAGUUGUUUUUAGGUUCCGCCGCUUUUUUGCCGAGUUUUGGCUCUUCUGCCUUGCAUUCAACAUGUAUCACAACAGCUCUCAGAAGAAAUUCUGGACUUACGAUAAAGAGGAAAAAUUAGAUAAAUUAAGACUAGAAGCUAAUCGGAAGUUUUGUUUAAAAGGCAUGUCCAGUGGUAAGCCUGAAUCCAUGUUUCUUGAUGCACAAGAAGAGAAAGUGCUUUUCAGACACUAUGAGAAUAGAUUGCUAGACUUCUGCGCUAUGUUCAAGCCUGCGAUGCCUAAAACUGUUGUGGGCACAGCUUGUAUGUAUUUUCGAAGAUUCUAUUUGAACAACUCUUUAAUGGAGUAUCACCCUCGGACAAUAAUGUUGACAUGUGCAUAUCUCUCCUGUAAAGUGGAUGAGUUUAAUGUGUCCUGCACUCAGUUUGUGGGGAACCUUCAGGAGAGCCCUGCAGGACAGGAGAGGGCUCUAGAACAGAUUCUGGAGUAUGAGCUGCUUCUCAUCCAGCAGCUCAGUUUUCACCUGGUUGUUCACAAUCCUUAUCGGCCCUUGGAGGGCUUUCUAAUUGACCUGAAGACCAGAUACCCAUUGUUAGAAAACCCAGAGAUGCUGAGAAAGAGUGCAGAAGACUUUCUCAACAGAGCAGCAGUGACGGAUGCCGGGCUCCUCUUCUCUCCGUCUCAGAUCGGCCUCACUGCCAUCCUCAACAGUGCUGCACGUGCCGGCCUCAAGAUGGAGGCAUAUUUGACCGAAUGCAUGGGGCUUAAGGAGGAUAAAGAGACCCUAUCAAAGAUGUAUGAGUCAAUGAGACGAAUAACUAGCCUUAUUAAAGCAUACGAGCUUCCCAAAGCUGAGGAGGUCAAUACCUGCAAACAGAAACUGGAAAGGAUUCAUGCUGAAUUCGCUACAAACUUGACAUGGCACGAUGGUUAAUCCAGACUUGUACUAUGGUAAUCACUGAUUACAAUGAUGUAUAUCAGAGUACCAUGGUAUCGCCAUCUCCACUGUGCACUGGUACCGCCGCCGUACAGGACAAAGCAUCUACUUGUCAAAUCGACCAAACCAAAGGACAUUAUAAAAACAUAAACUGGAGAUAAGUUUUGAGGCUUUACAUAAUUCAAGGAGUAAUAAUAUUACAUCAAGAAACAGCCAAAUUAACUGAGUUUGGUAAACACAAACAGGCUGAUAUAAUAAAAUAAUAUGAUAUAGUUUUCUAGUCAGUAGGUAUUGAUGGUUGACUCUUUUGUGAUGUGAAAUAAACCAGGAAGCCCAUAAUCUACUUGCCCCAUUCUGGGGAAAAGCUUUAAAAUGAAUAUGAGCUGAAGUUUGUUGCUAUUGUAGGUUAGGUGGAAGAACAGGGGCCAGGUUAUUGAAAGUGGACGCAUGCACCAGCCUUGUGUAAUCUAUCCUCCAAAAUUGAAUCGGUCUCACUGCUCAUGUAUCACAUACAAACACUGGUUUGGAGAUAAAAGCCAGGAUGCAGCAUCUUGUCAAGCGAAGCAGCUCAGAAGGAAAAGAAAACAUGGAUAUGAAGAUGAUGAUCACGUCGUGAAAAGGCAGAUGGUUGCUGAGGAAGAGUGGACUGAUGAGGAUUUGGAUGCAUUGUGAUGAUGAAAGUGUUUUUAAAUUGGCAACAUCCUCGACAGUUAUUUCAUGAGCAGGUUUAGUUAUUCCAUUUGCCAUCACUGACAGAGGAUGCAAUUGUCAAACUAGAUUGUAAAUAUUUCAGCAAAAUGUCUUCUUUAAAAAUAAAACAUUAUUUUUUUUAUUGUUCA